GUGGGGAAUAUUCCGCAAUGGACGAAAGUCUGACGGAGCAACGCCGCGUGAGUGAUGAAGGUUUUCGGACUGUAAAGCUCUGUUGUUUAGGACGAAAGUGCCUGUUGCAAAUAGUUACAGGUAUUGACGGUACUGAACGAGGAAGCCACGGCUAACUACGUGCCAGCAGCCGCGGUAAUACGUAGGUGGCAAGCGUUGUCCGGAAUUAUUGGGCGUAAAGAGCAUGUAGGCGGGAAUCUAAGUCUGUUGUGAAAAUGCGGGGCUCAAUCCCGUAUUGCGAUGGAAACUGGGUUUCUUGAGUGCAGGAGAGGAACGGGGAAUUCCGAGUGUAGCGGUGAAAUGCGUAGAUAUUGGGAGUAACACCAGUGGCGAAGGCGCCUUUCUGGACUGUGUCUGACGCUGAGAUGCGAAAGCCAGGGUAGCGAACGGGAUUAGAUACCCGUGUAGUCC
This 450-nucleotide ribosomal RNA is filed under the name uncultured bacterium. RNAcentral's name for it is "partial 16S ribosomal RNA". It matches the Rfam family "Bacterial small subunit ribosomal RNA", at positions 354 to 796 of the family's 1533-position model. The record is from RNAcentral.